RNAcentral lists this long non-coding RNA (374 nucleotides) under Cricetulus griseus (Chinese hamster). RNAcentral describes it as "lncRNA (ENSCGRG00015033180.1)". Lineage: Eukaryota; Metazoa; Chordata; Mammalia; Rodentia; Cricetidae. The record is from RNAcentral.
AAGGAGUACUGAAGUGCUUGCCACAGGUGCAAGGCAGUGGUGGUGAGGACCUUCCUCCCUGAACUUCACCCAUGACCCUUGUUCCUGCUCACACCCCAGGGCCAUCGUCCAUUGAGGGACAAGAAUGGACCGCCACCACCCUUCUCCCGUGCACCUUGCCAACUUCAGGGCCCUCUGCGGCAGAUCUGGAACCUGGAGGGACAAGGUGGCCGGCCAGGCGCAGAGGCACUAAGUCCUGCUCGCCCCUGCCCCCUGGUGGCUGAACAUGGCCUUACAGAAACAGGAUGCUUACUGGAGGCAGGGGUUGUCGAUCUACUCUGGUCCAAAGAAGAGAAAUAAAAAGCAAAUGUCCUUACGUUAGGUACGUGUCCCCG